GGGGUUAUGGCUCAGUGGUAGAGCACUCGCCUGGUACGUAUGAGACCCUGGGUUCGAUCCUCAGUACCA
Molecule: transfer RNA, 69 nt
Filed under: Ictidomys tridecemlineatus (thirteen-lined ground squirrel)
Lineage: Eukaryota; Metazoa; Chordata; Mammalia; Rodentia; Sciuridae
Description: Spermophilus tridecemlineatus (thirteen-lined ground squirrel) tRNA
Rfam family: tRNA
About the family: Transfer RNA (tRNA) molecules are approximately 80 nucleotides in length.
Source: Rfam by way of RNAcentral